This 363-nucleotide ribosomal RNA is filed under the name uncultured bacterium. Its description in RNAcentral is "partial 16S ribosomal RNA". It matches the Rfam family "Bacterial small subunit ribosomal RNA", at positions 338 to 698 of the family's 1533-position model. The record is from RNAcentral.
CCUACGGGGAGCAGCAGUGAGGAAUAUUGGUCAAUGGCCGGAAGGCUGAACCAGCCAUGCCGCGUGAAGGUCAGUGCCCUAUGGGCGUUAAACUUCUUUUGUCCGGGAGCAAUAAUGGCCACGUGUGGCCAGACGAGAGUACCGUACGAUGCAGCAUCGGCACACUCCGUGCCCGCAGCCGCGGUCACACGGGGGCUGCAAGCGUUAUCCGGAUUUAUUGGGUUUAAAGGGUGCGUAGGCUGGGAGGUAAGUCAGCGGGGAAAUGCCCCGGCUCAACGGGGUGAAGUGCCAUUGAUACUGGCUUGCUGGAAUGCGGAAGCGGUGGGAGGAAUGUGAGGUGUAGCGGUGAAAUGCAUAGAUAUC